UUAAUGAGCUUGAAUAGCAAUUGUUUUGAAAACAAUAGAUAAAGACUCACUUUCUUUAUUAACUUUACUA
Molecule: transfer RNA, 70 nt
Filed under: Sergentomyia adleri
Lineage: Eukaryota; Metazoa; Arthropoda; Insecta; Diptera; Psychodidae
Description: tRNA-Ser
Source: RNAcentral